Molecule: ribosomal RNA, 492 nt
Filed under: uncultured bacterium
Lineage: Bacteria
Description: partial 16S ribosomal RNA
Rfam family: Bacterial small subunit ribosomal RNA
Source: RNAcentral
AGUGAACGCUGGCGGUAGGCCUAACACAUGCAAGUCGAACGGCAGCACAGUAAGAGCUUGCUCUUACGGGUGGCGAGUGGCGGACGGGUGAGGAAUACAUCGGAAUCUACUUUUUCGUGGGGGAUAACGUAGGGAAACUUACGCUAAUACCGCAUACGACCUACGGGUGAAAGAAGGGGAUCUUCGGACCUUGCGCGAUUGAAUGAGCCGAUGUCGGAUUAGCUAGUUGGCGGGGUAAAGGCCCACCAAGGCGACGAUCCGUAGCUGGUCUGAGAGGAUGAUCAGCCACACUGGAACUGAGACACGGUCCAGACUCCUACGGGAGGCAGCAGUGGGGAAUAUUGGACAAUGGGCGCAAGCCUGAUCCAGCCAUACCGCGUGGGUGAAGAAGGCCUUCGGGUUGUAAAGCCCUUUUGUUGGGAAAGAAAAGCAGCAGGUUAAUACCCCGCUGUUCCGACGGUACCCAAAGAAUAAGCACCGGCUAACUUCGUG